AUUGAACGCUGGCGGCAUGCCUUACACAUGCAAGUCGAACGGCAGCACGGACUUCGGUCUGGUGGCGAGUGGCGAACGGGUGAGUAAUGCAUCGGAACGUGCCAUUGAGUGGGGGAUAACGUAGCGAAAGUUGCGCUAAUACCGCAUAUUCUGUGAGCAGGAAAGCAGGGGACCGCAAGGCCUUGCGCUCUUUGAGCGGCCGAUGUCAGAUUAGCUAGUUGGUGAGGUAAAGGCUUACCAAGGCGACGAUCUGUAGCGGGUCUGAGAGGAUGAUCCGCCACACUGGAACUGAGACACGGUCCAGACUCCUACGGGAGGCAGCAGUGGGGAAUUUUGGACAAUGGGCGAAAGCCUGAUCCAGCCAUGCCGCGUGAGUGAAGAAGGCCUCGGUUGUAAG
RNAcentral lists this ribosomal RNA (397 nucleotides) under uncultured bacterium. RNAcentral's name for it is "bacterial SSU rRNA". It matches the Rfam family "Bacterial small subunit ribosomal RNA", at positions 30 to 429 of the family's 1533-position model. The record is from RNAcentral.